Molecule: ribosomal RNA, 688 nt
Filed under: Prymnesium parvum
Lineage: Eukaryota; Haptophyta; Prymnesiales; Prymnesiaceae
Description: partial Bacterial large subunit ribosomal RNA
Rfam family: Bacterial large subunit ribosomal RNA
Source: RNAcentral
AGGAGGUUGGCUUAGAAGCAGCCAUCCUUUAAAGAAAGCGUAAUAGCUCACUGGUCGAGUCGUCCUGCGCGGAAGAUGUAACGGGGCUAAGCCAGUCACCGAAGCUGCGGAUAUGUCUUAUGACAUAUGGUAGGAGAGCGUUCUGUAAGCCUGCGAAGGUGUCUUGUAAAGGAUGCUGGAGGUAUCAGAAGUGCGAAUGCUGACAUGAGUAGCGAUAAAGAGGGUGAGAGACCCUCUCGCCGAAAGACCAAGGGUUCCUGCGUAAAGCUAAUCUGCGCAGGGUUAGUCGGCCCCUAAGGCGAGGCCGAAAGGCGUAGUCGAUGGGAAUCAGGUGAAUAUUCCUGAACCAGUUGGAAGUGACGGAUCUGGUAAAUUGUCAGGGCUUAUUGGAUUGCUCCUGGCAGUGAACAGGUCCCUGGAAAUAACUCCAACGGAGACCGUACCCGAAACCGACACAGGUGGGCAGGUAGAGUAUACCAAGGCGCUUGAGAGAACCGCGUUGAAGGAACUCGGCAAAAUACCCCCGUAACUUCGGGAUAAGGGGGCCCUUGCAUUGGGCAACCAGUGUGAGGGGGCACGGAAACGAGGGUGGCGACUGUUUACUAAAAACACAGGGCUCUGCGAAGUGGCUAACACGACGUAUAGGGUCUGACGCCUGCCCGGUGCCGGAAGGUUAAUUGAUGGGGUU